RNAcentral lists this transfer RNA (84 nucleotides) under bacterium ADurb.BinA028. RNAcentral's name for it is "tRNA-Tyr". It matches the Rfam family "tRNA". Rfam says of the family: Transfer RNA (tRNA) molecules are approximately 80 nucleotides in length. RNAcentral also lists the same sequence under 7 other names. The record is from RNAcentral.
GGCAGGUUGCCCGAGCGGCCAAUGGGAGCGGACUGUAAAUCCGUCGCGAAAGCUUCCAAGGUUCGAAUCCUUGACCUGCCACCA